GCAUUGGUGGUUCAGUGGUAGAAUUCUCCCCUUACAUGCAGAAGACCCAGGUUUAAUUCCUGGCUAAGGGA
RNAcentral lists this transfer RNA (71 nucleotides) under Loxodonta africana (African savanna elephant). It matches the Rfam family "tRNA". Rfam says of the family: Transfer RNA (tRNA) molecules are approximately 80 nucleotides in length. Lineage: Eukaryota; Metazoa; Chordata; Mammalia; Proboscidea; Elephantidae. The record is from Rfam by way of RNAcentral.